GAUGAACGCUGGCGGCGUGCCUAAUACAUGCAAGUCGAGCGAACAGACGAUGAGCUUGCUCCUCUGACGUUAGCGGCGGACGGGUGAGUAACACGUGGAUAACCUACCUAUAAGACUGGGAUAACUUCGGGAAACCGGAGCUAAUACCGGAUAAUAUAUUGAACCGCAUGGUUCAAUAGUGAAAGACGGUUUUGCUGUCACUUAUAGAUGGAUCCGCGCCGGAUUAGCUAGUUGGUAAGGUAACGGCCUACCAAGGCAACGAUGCGUAGCCGACCUGAGAGGGUGAUCAGCCACACUGGAACUGAGACACGGUCCAGACUCCUACGGGAGGCAGCAGUAGGGAAUCUUCCGCAAUGGGCGAAAGCCUGACGCAGCCACGCCGCGUGAGUGAUGAAGGUCUUCGGAUCGUAAAACUCUGUUAUUAGGAAAGAACAAAUGUGUAAGUAACUAUGCACGUCUUGACGGUACCUAAUCAGAAAGCCACGGCUAACUACGUG
This 497-nucleotide ribosomal RNA is filed under the name uncultured bacterium. RNAcentral describes it as "partial 16S ribosomal RNA". It matches the Rfam family "Bacterial small subunit ribosomal RNA", at positions 28 to 507 of the family's 1533-position model. The record is from RNAcentral.